This 498-nucleotide ribosomal RNA is filed under the name uncultured soil bacterium. RNAcentral's name for it is "bacterial SSU rRNA". It matches the Rfam family "Bacterial small subunit ribosomal RNA", at positions 97 to 633 of the family's 1533-position model. The record is from RNAcentral.
GGCGCACGGGUGCGUAACACGUAUGCAACCUACCUUUAACUGGGGCAUAGCCCCGAGAAAUCGGGAUUAAUACCCCAUAACAUUGCGGCAUCUAAAGUUCCGGUUAAAGAUGGGCAUGCGCGACAUUAGCUGGUUGGUGAGGUAACGGCUCACCAAGGCUACGAUGUCUAGGGGUUCUGAGAGGAUUUACCCCCACACUGGUACUGAGACACGGACCAGACUCCUACGGGAGGCAGCAGUAAGGAAUAUUGGGCAAUGGGCGCAAGCCUGACCCAGCCAUGCCGCGUGCAGGAUGACGGCCUAUGGGUUGUAAACUGCUUUUGUACGGGAAAAAUGAUGUUACCGUAAGAAUAAGCAUCGGCUAACUCCGUGCCAGCAGCCGCGGUAAUACGGAGGAUGCAAGCGUUAUCCGGAUUCAUUGGGUUUAAAGGGUGCGCAGGCGGAGCGAUAAGUCAGUGGUGAAAGCCUACAGCUCAACUGUAGAAUUGCCAUUGAUAC